Molecule: long non-coding RNA, 283 nt
Organism: Sinocyclocheilus grahami
Lineage: Eukaryota; Metazoa; Chordata; Actinopteri; Cypriniformes; Cyprinidae
Exons: 3
Source: RefSeq, a predicted model, not a curated record
GUCAAAAUGAGCAAAUAAUUGAGAAGAUUGGACAACAAACAGGAGUAAAGGAGCUUAGAGGAAGACAAGUAACGUGAUGCGGAUCUUUGGCAUUUCUAUCUUCUUCCACUAGAUGGCUGUGCAACAACAUAGUGAAGACAUGUUUUGCCACUGUCUGUGUUUAAUAACACAUUCCCGGCAGCCUGUACAGGCCGGAAAAGUGAAAACAGCUAUGUGGGAACAGAGGCACCAUGAAACAAACCCCAGCAGGAUGCAAGGCAACACUUGUUCAGGAAGAUACAGU